UACGAGAGCCCCGAGCGUUAUCCGGAAUCAUUGGGCGUAAAGGGUGCGUAGGUGGCGUUGUUAGUCUUCUGUUAAAGCCCCGAGCUUAACUCGGGAAUCGCAGGGGAAACGGCAAUGCUAGAGGAUGUGAGAGGUGUGCGGAACUCAUGGUGUAGGGGUGAAAUCCGUUGAUAUCAUGGGGAACACCGAAAGCGAAGGCAGCACACUGGCACAUUCCUGACACUGAGGCACGAAAGCGUGGGUAGCGAAUGGG
RNAcentral lists this unclassified non-coding RNA (253 nucleotides) under uncultured Parcubacteria group bacterium. RNAcentral describes it as "contains 16S-23S intergenic spacer region". It matches the Rfam family "Bacterial small subunit ribosomal RNA", at positions 524 to 776 of the family's 1533-position model. The record is from RNAcentral.